UGGGAUAAUCCGUGUGGCGUGGAUGUGA
This 28-nucleotide non-coding RNA is filed under the name Homo sapiens (human). Lineage: Eukaryota; Metazoa; Chordata; Mammalia; Primates; Hominidae. The record is from RNAcentral.